GACGAACGCUGGCGGCGUGCCUAAUACAUGCAAGUCGAACGCUUCUUUCCUCCCGAGUGCUUGCACUCAAUUGGAAAGAGGAGUGGCGGACGGGUGAGUAACACGUGGGUAACCUACCCAUCAGAGGGGGAUAACACUUGGAAACAGGUGCUAAUACCGCAUAACAGUUUAUGCCGCAUGGCAUAAGAGUGAAAGGCGCUUUCGGGUGUCGCUGAUGGAUGGACCCGCGGUGCAUUAGCUAGUUGGCGAGGUAACGGCUCACCAAGGCCACGAUGCAUAGCCGACCUGGGAGGGUGAUCGGCCACACUGGGACUGAGACACGGCCCAGACUCCUACGGGAGGCAGCAGUAGGGAAUCUUCGGCAAAGGACGAAAGUCUGACCGAGCAACGCCGCGUGAGUGAAGAAGGUUUUCGGAUCGUAAAACUCUGUUGUUAGAGAAGAACAAGGACGUUAGUAACUGAACGUCCCCUGACGGUAUCUAACCAGAAAGCCACGGCUAACUACGUG
This 508-nucleotide ribosomal RNA is filed under the name uncultured bacterium. RNAcentral describes it as "partial 16S ribosomal RNA". It matches the Rfam family "Bacterial small subunit ribosomal RNA", at positions 28 to 507 of the family's 1533-position model. The record is from RNAcentral.